UACAGGGGGGGCAAGCGUUGUUCGGAAUUACUGGGCGUAAAGGGUCUGUAGGUGGCCAACUAAGUCAGACGUGAAAUCCCUCAGCUUAACUGGGGAACUGCGUCUGAUACUGGAUGGCUCGAGUGUGGGAGAGGAAUGCGGAAUUCCAGGUGUAGCGGUGAAAUGCGUAGAUAUCUGGAGGAACACCGGUGGCGAAGGCGACACCCUGGACUCAUACUGACACUGAGGUGCGAAAGCGUGGGGAGCAAACAGG
Molecule: ribosomal RNA, 253 nt
Filed under: uncultured bacterium
Lineage: Bacteria
Description: partial 16S ribosomal RNA
Rfam family: Bacterial small subunit ribosomal RNA
Source: RNAcentral